RNAcentral lists this unclassified non-coding RNA (280 nucleotides) under Hevea brasiliensis (rubber tree). The record is from RNAcentral. Lineage: Eukaryota; Viridiplantae; Streptophyta; Magnoliopsida; Malpighiales; Euphorbiaceae.
AAAUAGCUUGACAAGCUGAAGCAGUGGCAGCCAUGUAUUCUGCUUCUGACGACGACAAGGCUGCUGUUGGUUGUUUCUUUGAGCUCCAAGACACUGCACAUGAGCCAAGAAAAAAAAUCUGUCCAGAAAUACUUCUUCUAUCUUCAAGAGAAUUGGCCCAAUCGCUGUCUGUGAAACCUUUUAACUUGAAAUCUGAAUUAGCAGAAUUAGCAGUAUACCAUAGACCAAAAUUUUGAGUUCCUGCAACAUACCGCAAAAUUCUUUUUGCUGCUCCAAGAUG